GAUGAACGCUGGCGGCGUGCCUAAUACAUGCAAGUCGAGCGCUCAAGGGUGGUGCUUGUACCUACUGGGUGAGCAGCGAACGGGUGAGUAACGCGUGGGUAAUCUGCCUUUGAGCGGGGGACAACUUUUGGAAACGAAUGCUAAUACCGCAUAAAAACUUUAAACACAAGGUUUAAGAUUGAAAGAUGCAUUUGCAUCACUCAAAGGUGAUCCCCCGUUGUAUUAGCUAGUUUGUGAGGGAAAGGCUCAACAAGGCGGUGGUACCGAGCCGAACUGAAAGGGUGGAUGGCCCAAUUGGGAACGAGACACGGCACAAACUCCCACGGGAGGCAGCAAGAGGGAAAUUUCGGGCAUGGGGGAAAGUCCGAACGAGGAAAGCCGCGUGAGGGAAGAAGGGUCUCGGGUUGUAAAAACCCGUUGGUAGGGAAGAAAGUUGGUGAGAGUGGAAAGCGCAUCAAGUGACGGUACCUACCCAGAAAGCGACGGCUAACUACGUG
This 497-nucleotide ribosomal RNA is filed under the name uncultured bacterium. Its description in RNAcentral is "partial 16S ribosomal RNA". It matches the Rfam family "Bacterial small subunit ribosomal RNA", at positions 28 to 507 of the family's 1533-position model. The record is from RNAcentral.